RNAcentral lists this ribosomal RNA (492 nucleotides) under uncultured bacterium. RNAcentral's name for it is "partial 16S ribosomal RNA". It matches the Rfam family "Bacterial small subunit ribosomal RNA", at positions 28 to 507 of the family's 1533-position model. The record is from RNAcentral.
AUUGAACGCUGGCGGCAUGCUUUACACAUGCAAGUCGAGCGGUAACAGGCCUUCGUGUGCUGACGAUUGGCUAACGGGUGAGUAAUGCAUCCGAACGUACCCAGAGGUGGAGGAUAACGCAGCUAAAGCUGUCUUAAUACCGCACGUGAUCUGAGGAUCAAAUCGGUGGACGGGGCAGCAAAGUUUCGCCGCGCGCGUUUGGAGCCGCCGAUGUCGGAUUAGCUAGUUGGUGGGGUAAAGACCUACGCAGUCGACGAUCCGUAGCUGGUCUGAGAGGACGGCCGGCCGCACUGGGAGUGAGACACGGCCCAGGCGCCUGCGGGAGGCAGCAGUGGGGAAUGUUGGACAGUGGGGGGAAGCAUGGUCCAGCAAUGCCGCGUGCGAGAAGAAGGCGUUCGGGUUGUAAAGCGGUUUUGGGAGGAACGAAACGGUGUCGGCUAAUACCGGGCGCUAAUGACGGUACCUGCAGAAUAAGCACCGGCUAACUACGUG